This 4393-nucleotide unclassified non-coding RNA is filed under the name Hevea brasiliensis (rubber tree). The record is from RNAcentral. Lineage: Eukaryota; Viridiplantae; Streptophyta; Magnoliopsida; Malpighiales; Euphorbiaceae.
AAAAAAUUAUAGCAAGUACAAUGAAAAAAUAAGGGCUUUAUAGCUAUAUUCAUCACAAGAGCUCAAACAUUUGUCAAUCUACCUCAACAACGAAACAUAUAUGCAUAUAGCCAGAUGAAUUAUGCAGAUAGAUGAUUAGAUAACAUCAAUGAAGUAAUUAUGCAGUAAAAAGUCAAACAAAAUAAUCCACUUCUGCUUCAAUCAAAUAUGUUCAGGACUAUAUCUGGCUAUAUGUAUAUAUAGACAUUUCCUCAGUUGCUAUAUACAGUUACAAUGAUCUGAUAAUAUCUUACCAUAAAACGUUUAACAGAUGUGGCAUUUGGCUUGCACUUGUGAGAAGAAUUUUGGUUGCAUUGAUAAUUCCCCUGAUGUUCCGCUCAUUGAUUAGAUUGCAAUUGUAGUUAAUCCCUUCUACAGCAGGGUUUUACUGUGCAGCACUUGUUGAUUUCCAUUGAGAAAUGAAUUAUCUGGUCCUUAAUGUGCCUCCAAGAGAAACCAGUUCCUAAUCUAGAUGACCACGCUGUAUAUAGUGCUUCUGCAGCUAGAUUUGAGAAACCAUUAUUGCUUAGGUCCAAUAACUGCAACUGCUUUGUUAUGCUGAUGGCUGUUGAAAGUUCUUGAAUGAAUUGGCACUCUGAAGAUGAAUACUUUUUACAAGAACUUGUACAGCUAUCAUCAAAUUCUCUACCAGCUUCUACCCUGACCAGAUUAUCUUCGCUAUCAGCAACUUCAAGUUGAUUACAGUCGGUGUUUACAGCACGUAAACCCGGCUGGUCAGUGCCAGCUUCUUUAGAUACACACAACUUUGAAGAUGGUUCGGAAAUACUGAGGUUUGGCCGUAGGAUAUCUGCACUUCCUUUAGAUGCUGAGUCAUACUGUAACAUAUAAUGCUCCUCCAAGUUGGUAUUAUCAGCUAGAUGGAGCUCCUCUAGUUGAUCAUUCUCUGACAGUGCUUUAAUCACUUGAAGAACUCCAGCGAGCCCUAGCUGACAUUUGUUUAGGACCAGAACUUUGAGGCAACAUCGUGGAUUCAUAAGCAAGGAUGCUAUUGCACUACUACCCUCUUGCAGAAUAGAAUUCCCUUCAAGGUUCAGCUCAUGAAUGCCAGAAAUCAGAGUAUCAUCAAUUUUAAGUUUAUGAAUAUACGUGCUCAUUAGUCCACAAUAUGAAAGGUCAAGUUUCACAGACUCUUGAGAACUGUUGAACAUUGAUUCAGUCAAUUGAAUUGCCCCAUCAGUUCCUAUGCCAGUGCUUCCAAGCAUUAGUCGUGACAAGCUUGACGUUUUAGCAAGUUGGCCAAGGCUAUCAAUGACAGCCCUGCUUAUCUUUAAUCCAUUCAGAUUCAGCUCUGCAAAACAUUUCAAAGUAGCAAGUUUGUUCAAUAGAUUAAUGAUAGCAUUUCCAGAUAGAGGGUUAUUAUAUCCUAUGGACAGUUGUGACAAAAUGGAGCCUGAAUUUAGUGCAUCAGUAACUUUUUGAAUUGUCCUUGAUGUGAUAGAACAUCGCUCUAUAUUCAAGCUAUAAAGAGCUCUACAGUUUUCCAAUAUGGUUGCAAGGUAAGAGCCACAUGCAUCAGUGAGACGAUUUCCAGAGAUAUUAAGCACUUCUAGUCGAGCAAAGAGCACAGGGCAUUCACAAAUCUGAAACAAAGCUGUUGGACCAAAUCGAUUGCAAUGCAAGUCCAAAGUCAAAUCACCAUAUUUUUGUCCUGAUGUGAAGAACUGUUGAAGUUUCUCCAUUGUUCCAUUUCCUGGAAGACAAUAUCCAAUAGACAGCUGAUAUUGGCAAGGAUAAACAAAACUCAGGACUGCCAUUUCUUUUAAAAACUAGCACGCAAUGCAUUUUGUAUUCAGAAAACUUCGUAUAAAAUUAGAGAUCCAAAAUCAGAUGACACCACCUAAUAAAUUGUGAGAAAGGUCUAGCAUGGCAACUGUUUUGUGCAUAUUCAAGGCAUUCAGCAAUGGAGUUAUUGAUAUAUCUUGCAAUUCGCAUUCAGAUGCAAUGAUUUCAUCCUCAACCUCUGAAAUGUAUAGUUUUUUGAGCAAUUUCAUAUUAGGUGCCUCAGAUAACUCCUCGCAAUAGUCAAUGUACAGUUUCAUCAAGCGCUUUGGAACCCAUCCAUUAACAGUAACUUCUAUCACAAUAUUUCGUAGGUCAUUCUCAAGGGUUUUAAAUGCUUCCAAGGAUUCUAGAACUUUUCCAGCGCAUGUCAUUUGUUGAAUGAUGGGCAGGAGACCCUUUGAUCUCCUCUCUGUAGGGAGCUGCAAAUAAUAUGAACAAGCCAGCUCAACCUUUAAAGACUCGAUGCUCAAUUCAUCAACUGCCAAAUAUGAGCCUCCAGCAUUUAUCAGGACACUGUCAAUUCUGAACAUAAUGCAUUGCUUUUCAGUACUUGGAGAUUUAUAUGAACAAGUGCUUUCUUCAAUAUUAACAGGAUUAGAGGAACUGAUAGCACAUUCAGAUGCAACUUUCAACAGAUCCUGAGAUUUGCUCGUAGAAUUAGCCAGAUUGUUUUCCUUCUUAAAUCCAUCAGAAGCAGUAACAUCCUCCACUGGGUGUUUAUGGAACCCUCUCUCACAGCUGUCUUCAUCAUCUGAAAGGAUUACUCGACGUUUACGACCAAUAAUGGUCUGUUGACUACUAGUUGUUUUAGACAGGCAUUUUGGAGAAUCCUCAGUUGGCUUAUCAUAAGUAUUGCAGUUAUCAGCUAUAAGUUUUGAUUGUGUAGAACUGGAUUUGCUAGUCUGCUGUGAAUGAGAUGCAUUAUCUCUGAUAUCUGACAAAUGAUCAUCCCCAUCUGUAUCAGUCUCAGAGCAGCAAUCCCUUACCAAAUUUUGUCUUUCCAGCUCCCUUCUUUUAGACUGCUUCAAAUUGUCAAUUUCAAUCUGGAGCCUCCUGGACUCUUCAACAUUAUUAAAUCUUAUCAUGUGGCUAUAGUGCAUAUUCUCUAGCGCUGAAAGCUGAACAGAUGGAAGGUUAGCUUCGACAGCAAUCCUAUAACUCUCUUCAAAUGCAUUUAGCGCUCCCAUCCAAUCACCACUGCAGUCCAAAAUGUCACCAAUGCUAAUUUUUGCUAAUGCUUCACCCUCCAAGUUGACAAUUGAGUUGUAUGUUUCCCAACUCUUUGUGACUGAUUUAAUGGCUUUAUUGAAGUUUCUGAGCUUCUGGUAUGACUCCCCAAGAACCAGAUAUGCAUCACCCAACUUUUCUUUGUCACAAAGUUGUUUUGCUAUCCUCUUCUUCAAUUUUGCAUAUUUACAAUGCUCCUCCCAUGCAAAGAUCAUGCUUGACUUCUCAAUAAGACGAUCAAGCAAUUCAUUCUGCUGCAGCAAAAACUUCCGCUCAUGUGGUCUGCCUAUUGCAUUCACUGUAUUCCUCGUUAACUUCUUAAGAUUUUGGUCUUCUUUCUUCAAUUCAUCCAUUACCUUGUUAGCUUCUUUUACAGUUGCAAUAUUUUGAUGAAUUUGUUUAACCAAAGCAGUCUCAUCUUCCAUGGAUUUUGCUAAAACAAGUGCCCUCCGAUAGCAACGAAUUGCUUCCUCAUACUUUUGAAUCCUAUAAUGCAAUUCACCAAGAUUGAUGUAUCCUUUUGCCUCCCCUUGACAAUGCCUAAUUCUCUUACAAAUUAGGAUAUCCUUCUCAAUGUGCUCCCGAGCAUUGCCCCACUCCCUCAGCUCCAUGUAAACAUUUCCAAGAUUGUGAUGGAGCCUACUCCGGGCAUCAUCGUCUUCAUUGACCUCUUCCUCAUCACAGAUUCCUAGUCCUUUGGUUAGGAUUUCCCUGGCUUCUCCCAGAUUAUCAAGAUCAAUUUCAAGCAUUCCGAUAUUGUUAUGUGCAUCUAUGUAUUCUUUAAGGAAAGAGGAUUUAUUAGUUGGAGGAUUCUCCUUAAGUGUUUGAGCAAGCUUCAUGGCUGACUUGAAAUACUUUUUUGCAUUUUUAACUGAAUCAUGGUCAUUAUCGCGUUUUAAAAAUUGCUCAUGGUACGUGCGACCCAGUUGGGUGCUAGCUCUUUGUUGUUCAAUUACGUCGUUGGCAUUCUUAGCAAGCUCCAAGUGCAUUUUCUGAUAAUGCAAAGCAUCGUCAAGCCGAUGGAGGCGCAGAUGGAUCUCCCCAAGAGACUGGCAAGUAGGCAACAAAUGCUUCUCAGGUAAGUAUUUGACAGAGAUAUCAAAAUCAAGACGCAACCACUUGAGUGCCUCCACAUACUCUCCUCUGUUCUUCAGUAUGUCCCCUAUCAAGUUCGCCCACCGAGCUUCCUCCUGCCGAUUCCCCACUUCCUGUGCACUUCUGUACGCUCGCCUCGCCGCACUUAAUUGCCCGUCGUCUUUAGCCAUCGCAGUCUACAAUCUGCAAAACGAAAAUUUAUCAAGGAUUUGGUGAUUUAGGGUUUCUA